CGGACACGGAGCUCCCCCUUCCGCGUGCACCGCCGACGCGACGUACCUCCUCGCCGUCCUCAACCGCGGCGGCGGGCUUCGCGCUGUCGGCCUCGUCGGACGACGCCUUCUUCUCGUCGUCCUGGGAAACAACAACGGCAGCUGCGGCUGCGGGCGCCGGCGCCUACGGGACGGUGUAGACGAAAGGCCCAGCGGGCACGUCGCCGCACGUCUGCAGGCUUCGAGCGCGGCGACGACAUCGCGCAUGUGUGGGCGGGACCUGGGCACGCUGUGGAGGCAGUGAUACGCCACCAUGGCGGCCUUGCUCGCCGCCUUGUUGGAGUAUCCGCCCUCCAGGCUGGGGUCCUUCACCCGCUCCGGCCGCGCUCAGUCCACGAGAUUCUGCUCCCUCCCGCCCCGCCGCCCCGUCAGCAGCUCGAGCAGCACCACACGUCGCUCUUCGCCGUCAGGUGCCCCGUCAGGAUGUACUCCGGCGCCGCGUACCCGUGGGUCCCUAUGACGCGUGUCGUGACGUGGGUCGCGUCGCCCUGUGGGUCCCCCCUUGGCGAGCCCAAAGUCCGAGAGCUUCGCCGUGUAAUCCUGCA
Molecule: small RNA, 584 nt
Filed under: Oryza sativa Japonica Group (Japanese rice)
Lineage: Eukaryota; Viridiplantae; Streptophyta; Magnoliopsida; Poales; Poaceae
Description: sRNA Os10g0339532
Source: RNAcentral